This 1337-nucleotide ribosomal RNA is filed under the name uncultured bacterium. RNAcentral describes it as "bacterial SSU rRNA". It matches the Rfam family "Bacterial small subunit ribosomal RNA", at positions 28 to 1381 of the family's 1533-position model. The record is from RNAcentral.
GACGAACGCCGGCGGCGUGCUUAACACAUGCAAGUCGAACGGUGAACCUCUUCGGAGGGGAUCAGUGGCGAACGGGUGAGUAACACGUGGGCAACCUGCCCCCGGCUCUGGGAUAACUCCAAGAAAUUGGGGCUAAUACCGGAUGUUCACCGCUUCCCGCAUGGGUGGUGGUGGAAAGGGUUUCCGGCUGGGGAUGGGCCCGCGGCCUAUCAGCUUGUUGGUGGGGUAGUGGCCUACCAAGGCGACGACGGGUAGCCGGCCUGAGAGGGUGACCGGCCACACUGGGACUGAGACACGGCCCAGACUCCUACGGGAGGCAGCAGUGGGGAAUAUUGCGCAAUGGGCGGAAGCCUGACGCAGCGACGCCGCGUGGGGGAUGACGGCCUUCGGGUUGUAAACCUCUUUCAGCAGGGACGAAGCGCAAGUGACGGUACCUGCAGAAGAAGCACCGGCCAACUACGUGCCAGCAGCCGCGGUAAUACGUAGGGUGCAAGCGUUGUCCGGAAUUAUUGGGCGUAAAGAGCUCGUAGGCGGUUCGUCGCGUCGGCUGUGAAAACCCGGAGCUCAACUCCGGGCCUGCAGUCGAUACGGGCGGACUUGAGUUCGGCAGGGGAGACUGGAAUUCCUGGUGUAGCGGUGAAAUGCGCAGAUAUCAGGAGGAACACCGGUGGCGAAGGCGGGUCUCUGGGCCGAAACUGACGCUGAGGAGCGAAAGCGUGGGGAGCGAACAGGAUUAGAUACCCUGGUAGUCCACGCCGUAAACGUUGGGCGCUAGGUGUGGGGGCCAUUCCACGGUCUCCGUGCCGCAGCUAACGCAUUAAGCGCCCCGCCUGGGGAGUACGGCCGCAAGGCUAAAACUCAAAGGAAUUGACGGGGGCCCGCACAAGCGGCGGAGCAUGUUGCUUAAUUCGAUGCAACGCGAAGAACCUAACCUAGGCUUGACAUGCACGGAAAAGCGGCAGAGAUGUCGUGUCCUUCGGGGUCGUGCACAGGUGGUGCAUGGUUGUCGUCAGCUCGUGUCGUGAGAUGUUGGGUUAAGUCCCGCAACGAGCGCAACCCUCGUUCCAUGUUGCCAGCACGUGAUGGUGGGGACUCAUGGGAGACUGCCGGGGUCAACUCGGAGGAAGGUGGGGAUGACGUCAAAUCAUCAUGCCCCUUAUGUCUAGGGCUGCAAACAUGCUACAAUGGCCGGUACAAAGGGCUGCGAUACCGCGAGGUGGAGCGAAUCCCAAAAAGCCGGUCUCAGUUCGGAUUGGGGUCUGCAACUCGACCCCAUGAAGUUGGAGUCGCUAGUAAUCGCAGAUCAGCAACGCUGCGGUGAAUACGUUCCCGGGCCU